AUUGAACGCUGGCGGCAUGCCUUACACAUGCAAGUCGAACGGCAGCGGACCUUCGGGUGCCGGCGAGUGGCGAACGGGUGAGUAAUGCAUCGGAACGUGCCAUUGAGUGGGGGAUAACGUAGCGAAAGUUACGCUAAUACCGCAUAUUCUGUGAGCAGGAAAGCAGGGGACCGCAAGGCCUUGCGCUCUUUGAGCGGCCGAUGUCAGAUUAGCUAGUUGGUGAGGUAAAGGCUUACCAAGGCGACGAUCUGUAGCGGGUCUGAGAGGAUGAUCCGCCACACUGGAACUGAGACACGGUCCAGACUCCUACGGGAGGCAGCAGUGGGGAAUUUUGGACAAUGGGCGCAAGCCUGAUCCAGCCAUGCCGCGUGAGUGAAGAAGGCCUUCGGUU
Molecule: ribosomal RNA, 391 nt
Filed under: uncultured bacterium
Lineage: Bacteria
Description: bacterial SSU rRNA
Rfam family: Bacterial small subunit ribosomal RNA
Source: RNAcentral